AAUGAACGCUGGCGGCGCGCCUAAUACAUGCAAGUCGAGCGAGAAGACGUAGCAAUACGUUUGUAAAGCGGCGAACGGGUGAGGAAUACAUGGGUAACCUACCCUAGAGUGGGGAAUAACUAGCCGAAAGGUUAGCUAAUACCGCGUACGCUCCUUGGACUUCGGUUCAGGGAGGAAAGCGAUGCCGAGGGUAUCGCGCUCUUGGAUGGACUCAUGUCCUAUCAGCUUGUUGGGAGGUAACGGCUCACCAAAGCUUCGACGGGUAGCUGGUCUGAGAGGACGAUCAGCCACACUGGCACUGCGACACGGGCCAGACUCCUACGGGAGGCAGCAGUAAGGAAUAUUGCGCAAUGGGCGAAAGCCUGACGCAGCGACGCCGCGUGGGGGA
This 388-nucleotide ribosomal RNA is filed under the name uncultured bacterium. RNAcentral describes it as "bacterial SSU rRNA". It matches the Rfam family "Bacterial small subunit ribosomal RNA", at positions 29 to 408 of the family's 1533-position model. The record is from RNAcentral.